CAGAAAAUAGUUUACGUUAAAAUAUUAAUAUUGGGAAUUAACGAUGAGAGGGUUCCUCUUUUUUCUGA
This 68-nucleotide transfer RNA is filed under the name Athalia sp. 'tibetana'. Its description in RNAcentral is "tRNA-Pro". Lineage: Eukaryota; Metazoa; Arthropoda; Insecta; Hymenoptera; Athaliidae. The record is from RNAcentral.